Molecule: ribosomal RNA, 253 nt
Filed under: uncultured bacterium
Lineage: Bacteria
Description: partial 16S ribosomal RNA
Rfam family: Bacterial small subunit ribosomal RNA
Source: RNAcentral
UACGAAGGGUGCAAGCGUUGCUCGGAAUUAUUGGGCGUAAAGCGCACGUAGGCGGCUUAGCAAGUCGGAUGUGAAAGCCCUCGGCUCAACCAAGGAAGUGCCUCCGAAACUGCUGAGCUUGAGUACUUAAGAGGAUCGCGGAAUUCCCGGUGUAGAGGUGAAAUUCGUAGAUAUCGGGAGGAACACCAGUGGCGAAGGCGGCGAUCUGGGAAGAUACUGACGCUGAGGUGCGAAAGCGUGGGGAGCAAACAGG